This 592-nucleotide ribosomal RNA is filed under the name uncultured bacterium. RNAcentral's name for it is "bacterial SSU rRNA". It matches the Rfam family "Bacterial small subunit ribosomal RNA", at positions 97 to 705 of the family's 1533-position model. The record is from RNAcentral.
GGCGGACGGGUGAGUAACGCGUGAGGAACCUGCCUUUCAGAGGGGGACAACAGUUGGAAACGACUGCUAAUACCGCAUGACACAUAGAUGUCGCAUGGCAUUUAUGUCAAAGAUUUAUCGCUGAAAGAUGGCCUCGCGUCUGAUUAGCUAGUUGGUGAGGUAACGGCCCACCAAGGCGACGAUCAGUAGCCGGACUGAGAGGUUGAACGGCCACAUUGGGACUGAGAUACGGCCCAGACUCCUACGGGAGGCAGCAGUGGGGAAUAUUGGGCAAUGGGCGCAAGCCUGACCCAGCAACGCCGCGUGAAGGAAGAAGGCUUUCGGGUUGUAAACUUCUUUUGUCAGGGACGAGUAGAAGACGGUACCUGACGAAUAAGCCACGGCUAACUACGUGCCAGCAGCCGCGGUAAUACGUAGGUGGCAAGCGUUGUCCGGAUUUACUGGGUGUAAAGGGCGUGUAGCCGGGAGGGCAAGUCAGAUGUGAAAUCCACGGGCUCAACUCGUGAACUGCAUUUGAAACUACUCUUCUUGAGUAUCGGAGAGGCAAUCGGAAUUCCUAGUGUAGCGGUGAAAUGCGUAGAUAUUAGGAGGA